ACUUUGUCUCUGUCCGCCUUUAAAGUGAUCCCUCCCCCCAUGACUCUUCAACCUGCUACACUCAUUAACCCUUUUGCUUCUAAAAGGAGCACACUCAAUUGUGCAAGAAGCUGCUGCACUGAAAUGAAGCAGAAUGGAGGAAUGUUUCCUGGGGACAACUUUGGGAUAGGUCUCCCGAAGAUCGCGCAACUCUCUGGAACGCUCGGCUUCCAUCUCUGCAGGUCUUCUGCCCGAGCAAGGAAGUUUCUGCUGCCUUCUUCAGAGGACGUCAUCAAAUGCCCACCCAGCUGUUUGCAAAGGAGUUCCUAUCCAUUCACCAGGCUGUUUGUGUUGGUGGUGGGGUGAGGUGGUGUUCCUGUCAGAGGGGUCUACUGACACAGAGGCACCUGCUGUCUGCAUCGGGAAGGAAGCCAGUGUCAUGCCAUUUCACCAGAAGCAGCAGGCAUAGCCCACGUUGCUUUGCGCAUGGGGACCUUGAAAGAAGCUGGCUGAAAAUGGCCCUCCACAGUCGGUUCUGCCGUCUCAGCAUCCACUGUGUAUCCGCCUAUCUCUAGGAACCAAUAGACUGCAAGCCCACACGUGAGCCACAAGCGAGAGGCCACUGCAUACAGAAUCGCAGGCCGGCCUCUUGACAAGAACUGAGCCCAGCCUUACCGGUCCCUCUGCUGGAGAGAGGAGGAAAAACAGGAGGAAAAACAGGACUCGGGAGAUAAACAAGCGCAGGGCAGAGCCACACCGUGCAGUGGAAUGUGGACUUUAUCCAGCGGACAUGAAAACUCGAGUAACGUUAUUAGUUGCUAGUAGACACAGCAAAGCAGGGCAUUGGAGGCCUGGGAGGGAGGGAAAGUUCACUUCCAGAGACAAACACGAUCUGAGCUCUGAAUCAAAAUAUUAUAUUGGCUGGGUAGGGGGUUCUAGCCGGGGAGGAGGGCCCAUUGUGCAGGUUUUACAUGAUGCCUAUGGGGGUAUAAAUCUCUAGAACGUUCAAGUUUGCUAUUCUGUAAGUUAGUGAAUAUAGGCCUUUAGGAAAAUUUGUUUUGUUUCAGGUAGCAGGAAAAAUUUUUUUAACUUAAUGGAAAUUGUAUUAUUUUAUUGCCUUUUCUUUGAGAUGGGGGUCUGCUAGAUAGUCCAGGACGGUCUCAGACAUGUUAAUCCUCCAGCCUCGGCCUCCAGCGUGCUGGGAUUAUAGGCCCUGUGUAGGAAUUAUGUUUUCAAUUAUGUGUAUGUACACGUGGGUAUUUGCAUGCGAGUGAAGGUACCUACAGAGCCCUUGGUUACUCUUGGAGUUGGAGUUACAGUUAGUUACAAGUUACUUGAUGUGGGUACUGGGAAUUGGACCAGCAUCCUCUGGAAAAGCAUGAAAUGCUCUUAACCACCCACCAAGCCAUCUUUCCAGCCCUACAUAUUUGUUUUAAUUGGAAGUUUCUAGUUUGUCCUGAAAAUGCACAAUAUAUGGCUGUAGGGAGUUCUGUCUGUAUUCUGUCUACCCCAGUGCCACUGCCAUCAGCCCCUGGUCCUGGCUCCAGGUCCUCCCCAAUUUAAACCUGACUUCCUUUGGCCUUUGGGAGCCUAAGUGUUAGGCUGGGGUUUCCCAGGCUGUUGCUGCAUGCUUCCACCAGGAGGCUCUGUGACCAGGGCUUUGGAGGGAAGGGUGGGGAGGAAGUGUUGUGAGCUAGUUCCAGGAGGACGUGAAGGAAAUGCUGCCUUCCUUCCUGGCCAGGGAGUCCCAAUGAGCAAUUUCAGCUCAGUGGAGAGUCAGACCUAAGAGGCCCUUGAGGAUAAAUGUUUUGAAAGAGACCAAGAGAAGUGAGGUUACAGGCCAAUCGCCAAUGAUCCCGACCCUCCGCAGUCUGUCAGACGCUCUGUCACAGGAAGAGGGCUGGUUGCCCCUUGAGAUGGUCAGGAAGGGAACAGACACUAAGAGCUCCAAAUGGCAGGUGCUCUCUGGGAGUGGCUUACUCGCAUUCUCCAUCUCGGGGAAAGGAGGAAAGAUAGAAGUCAGGAUCAGACUACCCUAAGUGUGCAGCCUGAGGAAAAGAGUGAGGAAUGAGCCAGCCAGGGAAUCAGCAAGAUGCACAGCCUUGUCUGCCUGCCCACCUCAGCCAAGAAAAAUUUCAGUUUGUUUGUCAAAUAAAUGGUCCAGGAAUUUGCUGGGUCUCCAUCUGUGUAUAGGCAGGCAUUGUUUUCCAUUUCAUAUCCAGCUCGGAGCUGUGGGACUUGGGCUGACUGAGGCCAGGGACCUGACCUCCAGCCAACCUGCUCUGGGUAUCCCCUGAACUCUUUCCUCAUUGUAGUGGGCUCUGUGGCUUUGACUCAAAGAUCGUUAUCUAUGAGGGUUCAGAACCCUGCUUCCUCCCUGGUCCGUGGCUGCUUUUUCCUGGGUUUGUUUUCUUUGGCUGCUACUGGGAUGUUUUUCUGUGAAAUGCUUUUUGCCACAGAGGGAAGAAAGGAGGCUAGGCAGGAUGUGUGUGGAGGGAAGAGAAUCUGGGGGAUGGGGGUGCCCUGUCAGAAGAAUGGUGCCUAUAAGUCAAUGCCUGCUGGUAAUUCCCUAUACCUCUACUUUCUUAUCCUUACCCUGAUGGGGGGGCAUACAAAGUGUUAAUGUAAUGCAAAAAUUAUAAAUUAUACAAAGCAUUAAUACAUGGUUAAUGACAGCACAACUCCUGUUCCCCAUGUUUCAUUCAUUCAUUCAUUCAUUCAUUCAUUCAUUCAUGUGUUUCUCCUAUAAGCAAUUUCAGUAAGCACAACCAGCCAAUAACACAGGUACAUCCCACUCCACAACACUCAGGAACAAGUGUUGGCAUCAUCUUAAUUGUCUUAAUAUUAUUGGGUUUUGUUUGUUUAGGGUUUUUUGAGACUUAUUUUUAUUUUAUGUGUAUGACUGUUUGCCUGCCUGUAGGCAUAAUGUUACUGUGCACUGUGUAAAGAUUACCGUUGCAUCAGUCAAAUGCUGACUUCUCUGCCCCCAAAUCUGGCUGCAAUCUGGACAUGGCAUUGUAACACUUAUUUUAAGGAUCUCCCCUCUUGGGCUCAGCAGGUAAGAGCACUGACUGCUUUUCCAAAGGUCCUGAGUUCAAAUCCCAGCAACCACAUGGUGGCUCACAACCACCUGUCAUGAGAUCUGAUGCCCUCAGACGCUUCAGUGUACUUAUAUAUGAUAAUAAAUAAAUCUUUGGGCCGGAGAGAGCAGGGACUGGGCAAGCGGGACUGACUGGAGCCAGCAGAGGUCCUAAAAAGUCAAUUCCCAACAACCCCAUGAUUUGUCAAUAAAAGCUGGUCAGCCAAUGACAGAGCAGAAGAGAGAAUAGGGCUGGACUUCCCAUCCCAUCGAGAGGAAGGGGAGAGGAAGAGAGGGUUCAACGGUAGGAGAGGGUUGAGGAAAAGCCAUGGUAACACCUGAAGCAGAGACAGCCAGAUCAAUACUAAAUGCAUGUAUCUUGGGGAUUUUGGCUAGGAGGUAGCCAGAUUAGCUUAGAUGAUUAGAAUAGAUUAAUAACUGACCAGUAGUUGUGCCAUAAAGCUGAUUGAAUAAAUCUAAUAGUGUGUCUCAUUUUGGGAGCUAGCCAGGGUAAAGAAACAUUAUCGCUUAUAAAAUUGCAUUAACACCUGCCUGUGUAUUGGGUAUACGACAGCAUGCCAUGUCCUUGGAAGGUGUUGAAUCUCCUGGAACCAAAGUUACAGAGAGUUGUGAGCUGCCAUGUGGGUGCUGGGAACUGAACCCUGUCAGGAGCCAUCAUAGAUAUUCUAAGGCUAGCAGGUGACCUUCCUGGAGGUGGUUUCACCACUUUUGCAUGGUCUGCAAUGGGUAAACUCUAUGAGGCAAGGUCCCAAAGAGAUUUCAUCUCAGGAUUGCUUCUUGCAGCUCAUAUGCCUUUCCUGUCAUUAUUAAAUUAAUAUAAUAACCCCUGAGCAUAAAUCCACCCUAUUGAGCAGAUCUCCUGCGGACCAGCCUAAAGAUGAACUUUCAUGAAUUAAUGCUGUUUAGAUGAAUUAAUGAUUUUAUAGAAUUCCUGAUUUGAUUCAAAUAAUUUUAGGAAGAAAUUUUCUAGAGAUGGUUUUAGUUGCUUUGCUAGAAAGAUGUAAAAAAAUUAGAAUAAAGAAUAGAAUGUGCCCACUUCUCAGAAUAGUAAGUAAAGGCUGCAUACUAAGGAAUACAAUGAGCUUUCAUAAUCACAGAGAGAGGUAGACUUGGGACAAUUUUGUGUUCAAGGAAAAACAUUUAGGUCCAAGGAUAAAUCCACAGGUGUGCACUCUGAUAAGGCAAGGCCAUGUAAAACUGUUGCUUUAAACUUUUAAUGAGUAUAUUAAAAUGAAACACUGCUUUGAACUUAAUAUCAACUUCCUUCUGUAACUCCCAUUCUAUGUAACAGUUUAUCCCUGAGGUAAACUUUUAGGAACUUUUGUCUAAGAAGGUAUAAAAAGGCCAAAGGAAAGAAAUAAGGUUGGGGGCUCUGCCCCAUCCAUCCAUCCAUCCAUCCAUCCAUCCAUUCAUCCAAUGUGCAUGCCUGUUUGUUUAUAUGUACUAUGGAGGUAUAUGCGUAUGUAUGUAAGCCUGCAUGAACACUUGCGGAGUUGAUGUGACAGAAAGCUGGGCCUGACCAGAGUGUGUGUGUAUGAAUGUAUAAAAGCUAUAAAAAGCUAAAAGCAAUAAAUAAAAGUGAUUUAGCCAU
Long non-coding RNA from Mus musculus (house mouse), 4670 nucleotides. RefSeq annotates it as predicted gene, 34451. The transcript has 2 exons. NCBI's taxonomy places the organism in Eukaryota, Metazoa, Chordata, Mammalia, Rodentia, Muridae. The record is from RefSeq and is a predicted model, not a curated record.